GCGGUAAUGAGGAAGUAAGAGAGCUAAAUAUUGAAGCGACUCUGCUAUUCAAGUACUACUACUCAAAGCCUCAGUGUGAGAUCUGGUGUCAAAUUGUCCUUUUCAACAGAGGGAGUCCACUCUACAGAAUUCACAUUCGAACAACCAGUAAAACUAAUAGUAGGACGAUGAGAGAUGUCAGCAUUACUUACUUGACGAAAACUGCCAGGCCAUAAUAAGUGAUCAGCCUCAUCGAUAUCCUCAACGUAUAAAGACGGACUCUGAUGGUGUACAUAUUCAAAUCUGGCGCUCGUCCUGAAAUCAAGUGAUCCCAUUGCUUGAGGAAAUCCGUGGUGCAUUGAGGAAUGUGCUUUGAUUCCCAAGGACCGGGAAGUAGACCCGUGCAAUGGCAGAGCAGCCAAAUUACCAUACCUUUCUGAAAAGAUCCCCAUUCUCAUAGCUCGUUUUGCUAACGUUCUCUCACGUUUAUGAGCAUUCUGGUGACCGCCCAGUGCCUGUGAACUAUAGAAUUUACGCUUGCAGAAAUUGCAAGUGAAAACUCUUCUAACUACUGCUUCCCCUGAAGUUUGUGAUGCUGCAAGUUCAUUGCUGCUUUCAUCACACGUGCUUGAUACUGAAAAUCCUAUCGAAUCUUGGCUGGCAAAUUCAUCGGUACCAGAAUUAAACCCGAGAGACAAGUCAAG
Molecule: unclassified non-coding RNA, 683 nt
Filed under: Hevea brasiliensis (rubber tree)
Lineage: Eukaryota; Viridiplantae; Streptophyta; Magnoliopsida; Malpighiales; Euphorbiaceae
Source: RNAcentral